RNAcentral lists this long non-coding RNA (908 nucleotides) under Capsicum annuum. RNAcentral describes it as "long non-coding RNA (CANN_LNC017242)". Lineage: Eukaryota; Viridiplantae; Streptophyta; Magnoliopsida; Solanales; Solanaceae. The record is from RNAcentral.
AAGAAGUCUCGACUCAUACCACAUCCCAAAAAUUAUUUUUUAAAGUCAAAUGGCCUAUGCAGCCUUAUUAUAAAAUCCAAAUGAUUCUUUAGAAAGGUCCAAUACCCGAUCCAUCGCCAAUCUUCAGAAAAAAAAGAAAAAGAAGAUAAAACUAAAUAUGCUAACAAAAAUCUUUAAAGCAGGAAAAUGGAAGGAAAAUAGUCAUGGUCGUCGGCUUCAUCAUCCAUUUGAGAAGAAACCAAAACUUAGCUAAAGAGAGAAAGGACAAGCAUCUGGAUCUAUGAGUGCAAACGAAAACCGAACUUUAGGAAGGAAGGUGAGCUUUGGUAUAUUUCAUAUAGGACAUGAAUAAGAUAUCACUAAUGUCAUGAAAUAACUUUGAUUAAAAACUUUUCUAAUCUUCUCAGAUAGAUCGGGCCUUCAAGCACUCCGAUAAUUACCUAUACAACCUCCCUAUAGAUAUCAAGUAAUGCCGAUUGAUGUUGAAUCAUUUAAUUUAUCCUCUUGACAGGUUGAGCUUAACGAAGAACUAAUACCACUAUCGAAGAAGAUAAAAAUCACUAAUUCAACAUGAACUAGCUGAGGUAAGUGGAAAAUUAUUAUUAAACUCCAAGCUCUGUUAACCAUAUAUACAUUUUUCUCAGCUCUUGACUUUUUCUUUUGCAGAUCAUUCUCAUGCCAGAUCUAAAGAAGGAAAUAAUUAAAGGAAAAAUUACACAAUAACUGUUUCAAUUUUUUUGAUGUCAUCUAUAAGACGAAUUAUUAAUGACUUGCCUUUUGUUUUUGUACUUGCCUUGUACUAUUCUUUCCAUGUUGUACCUUUAUUAAUUAGUUUUUGGAUUAUUGAACUUGAAAAUUCCUAUUUUGAAUUCUUAUAACCGUGAGACUUGGUGUCUUAUUUUUUUCCA